UUGUUUAGUCUGGAAGCUGUGAUUUAUGUAAUGCCACUGGAUUAUUUACCUUUACGCUCAUUUUCUUUAGGACUCUCGUCCCCUAGUGGUCCCUGUUUGCCUGGGUAUUACUGCACUUCAAAGGCACGUACACCCAAUCCUGUUAACGACGAGGCGGGCAGUGUUUGUCCCGCGGGCCAUUACUGCCCACCAGGUAGCAGCAAGCCAGAGCUAUGUCCCACUGGCACGAUUUUACCUCAGUCUGGGAUGGGUCACCGUAACGCCUGCCUGCCCUGCCCUGGGGGGAAGUUCUGCCAAGGAGAAGGCCAAGCCAGUGUUUCUGGAACGUGUUACGCUGGGUAUUUCUGUGAGCUUGGAUCCACGCAGCCAGAUCACAAGCGCUGCCCUCCUGGUUUCUACUGUCCUGAAGGCUCUGAAUCCCCAAUCCCGUGUAGUCCUGGAAGCUUCAACUCUGAGAGUGGACAAUGGCAGUCAGCAGACUGUCAGCUCUGCCCAGCUGGAUACUUCUGCAGUGGUUCUGGAGCCCACACCCCUGAGGUGUGUCCUGCUGGGUACUUCUGUCUGCCCGGUACCACCUUCAGUACAGAGCACCCGUGUCCGAAGGGUACCUUUGGCCCCAGGACUGGUGUCACUAGCCAGGCUGACUGUGAGCCCUGCCCAGCAGGCAUGUAUUGCUCAGCACCUGGCCUAUCCCAGCCUUCUGGAUUUUGCUAUCCGGGUUAUCACUGUGCCAAGGGAGCCAUCAGCC
This 748-nucleotide long non-coding RNA is filed under the name Athene cunicularia (burrowing owl). RNAcentral's name for it is "lncRNA (ENSACUG00000002718.1)". Lineage: Eukaryota; Metazoa; Chordata; Aves; Strigiformes; Strigidae. The record is from RNAcentral.